CACUCCUGCGGGAGGCAGCAGUGGGGAAUAUUGGACAAUGGGCGCAAGCCUGAUCCAGCCAUGCCGCGUGAGUGAUGAAGGCCCUAGGGUUGUAAAGCUCUUUCACCGGUGAAGAUAAUGACGGUAACCGGAGAAGAAGCCCCGGCUAACUUCGUGCCAGCAGCCGCGGUAAUACGAAGGGGGCUAGCGUUGUUCGGAUUUACUGGGCGUAAAGCGCACGUAGGCGGACUAUUAAGUCAGGGGUGAAAUCCCGGGGCUCAACCCCGGAACUGCCUUUGAUACUGGUAGUCUUGAGUUCGAGAGAGGUGAGUGGAAUUCCGAGUGUAGGGGUGAAAUUCGUAGAUAUUCGGAGGAACACCAGUGGCGAAGGCGGCUCACUGGCUCGAUACUGACGCUGAGGUGCGAAAGCGUGGGGAGCAAACAGGAUUAGAAACCCUGGUAGUCCC
RNAcentral lists this ribosomal RNA (446 nucleotides) under uncultured organism. RNAcentral's name for it is "partial 16S ribosomal RNA". It matches the Rfam family "Bacterial small subunit ribosomal RNA", at positions 334 to 797 of the family's 1533-position model. The record is from RNAcentral.